This 492-nucleotide ribosomal RNA is filed under the name uncultured bacterium. RNAcentral describes it as "partial 16S ribosomal RNA". It matches the Rfam family "Bacterial small subunit ribosomal RNA", at positions 29 to 507 of the family's 1533-position model. The record is from RNAcentral.
AGUGAACGCUGGCGGUAGGCCUAACACAUGCAAGUCGAACGGCAGCACAGUAAGAGCUUGCUCUUACGGGUGGCGAGUGGCGGACGGGUGAGGAAUACAUCGGAAUCUACUUUUUCGUGGGGGAUAACGUAGGGAAACUUACGCUAAUACCGCAUACGACCUACGGGUGAAAGCAGGGGAUCUUCGGACCUUGCGCGAUUGAAUGAGCCGAUGUCGGAUUAGCUAGUUGGCGGGGUAAAGGCCCACCAAGGCGACGAUCCGUAGCUGGUCUGAGAGGAUGAUCAGACACACUGGAAGUGAGACACGGCCCAGACUCCUACGGUAGGAAGCAGUGGGGAAUAUUGGACAAUGGGCGCAAGCCUGAUCCAGCCAUACCGCGUGGGUGAAGAAGGCCUUCGGGUUGUAAAGCCCUUUUGUUGGGAAAGAAAAGCAGCAGGUUAAUACCCCGCUGUUCUGACGGUACCCAAAGAAUAAGCACCGGCUAACUUCGUG